Molecule: transfer RNA, 73 nt
Filed under: Stegodyphus mimosarum
Lineage: Eukaryota; Metazoa; Arthropoda; Arachnida; Araneae; Eresidae
Rfam family: tRNA
About the family: Transfer RNA (tRNA) molecules are approximately 80 nucleotides in length.
Source: Rfam by way of RNAcentral
GCCUUCGUGGUGUAGUGGUCAGCACACUCGGCGCGUAUUCGAGAGGUCCGUGGUUCGAGUCCCGUCGAGGGCA